AUUUGUGCAGUUAGGAAAACUAGAUGGCGGUGCCGUUCCUCUGGAUUGAGUAUGCUGGUUACAUGGAAGCAUGAAGUUCAUGGAUGGUGCAAGUUAAAUCGGUGUUAGCAGUGUUUCUUAAGUUUGCUGUGUUUUAAAGGAUUGUUCGUCUUAAAAUCAACGCUAAUCGAACUGCAGACCCUGAGAAUAGUGAGCUAUCCAUGUCUCUGUUUUCCAGCAUGCCAUACCUCACAGAAAAACUUCCUAUUUCAUUUUAGCCUACCAUCAAAUGGAAUAGCAUGAUUAUUUAUACAAUGAUCAUUUCUAUGAAGCCAAAUGCCUGUGGAUUCUGACGCUGAAGAUCUACAAUGACCAAAAUUCCUUAGAAUGUCUUCAUGUAUACAUGUACUAUGUUUUGCUGUCUGUCAACCAACAUCAACCCAUUCAGCCAGUAUUCUCUGCUUGUCAACUUAGCCAACAAUCAACCAUCAGUAUUGAAUGCAUCCACUCCUAAAACCUUCACUACUCAAACAACUAUCUUCCGUAGACUUCAACACCCAAUCAAGAUCUUUUUAAAACUUUUUCAUCGGAUCCCAUUUCGACCAGUGCCGCAGUCUUCGUGAUCGUAACCGGUCAACAUGCAUAGACUUAAAUGCCAUCGCCUCAUUGUGAGCUGCCAAUUGUUCAUCAUCUUUUCCAACCAAAAAUCGCCGUUCUAAUACAAAUCAUCCAGUCAUGCGUCGCUACAGAAUUUACCACGUGACGUCUACUUUUACUGAUACAUGGCAGCGUGGAAGAUUCUUGGACU
RNAcentral lists this long non-coding RNA (787 nucleotides) under Daphnia magna. RNAcentral's name for it is "uncharacterized LOC116928683, transcript variant X1". Lineage: Eukaryota; Metazoa; Arthropoda; Branchiopoda; Diplostraca; Daphniidae. The record is from RNAcentral.